GACGAACGCUGGCGGCGCGCUUAACACAUGCAAGUCGAACGAAGGCAUCAGCUUCGGUUGGUGUCUUAGUGGCGCACGGGUGAGUAACGCGUGGGAACCUACCUUAAGGUACGGGACAACAGUUGGAAACGGCUGCUAAUACCGUAUGUGCCCUUUGGGGGAAGGAUUUAUCGCCUUAGGAUGGGCCCGCGUUGGAUUAGCUAGUUGGUGGGGUAAAGGCCUACCAAGGCAACGAUCUAUAGCUGGUUUGAGAGGAUGAUCAGCCACACUGGGACUGAGACACGGCCCAGACUCCUACGGGAGGCAGCAGUGAGGAAUCUUGGACAAUGGGGGCAACCCUGAUCCAGCGACGCCGCGUGGGUGAUGAAGGCCUUCGGGCUGUAAACCCCUUUUAUCUGUGAAGAUGAUGACGGUAGCAGAUGAAUAAGCACCGGCUAACUCCG
This 443-nucleotide ribosomal RNA is filed under the name uncultured Alphaproteobacteria bacterium. Its description in RNAcentral is "bacterial SSU rRNA". It matches the Rfam family "Bacterial small subunit ribosomal RNA", at positions 28 to 505 of the family's 1533-position model. The record is from RNAcentral. Lineage: Bacteria; Pseudomonadati; Pseudomonadota; Alphaproteobacteria.